This is a long non-coding RNA of Amphiprion ocellaris (clown anemonefish), 1369 nucleotides long. NCBI's taxonomy places the organism in Eukaryota, Metazoa, Chordata, Actinopteri, Pomacentridae. The record is from Ensembl.
AGAUCUGCCAUUGAGUAUGUCCUUUCUUCCAUUGUACAUCACACUUGAAGAAAGCAGAGACUGAGCCAACACCAUCUUGGGAUGCCUUUAUAGGAACACUCUUCAUUCAUUACCCCUUUUUCAUGUAUUUAUUACUUGAAUGCUAAGAGUGAUAUAUAUGUUGUUUGAUAUUUUUUUUUAGAAACCACUUCCAGGUCAUACACACCUCUGCAUGUACAAUUAAUUUUAAUGAGGAUUAUCUAUAGCGAUACAGCACAUCUUCAAUUACUGAGUCUAUUUUUGUAUUAUCUCUGACUGUAAAUUCAGUUCCACCAAAGUGCCUAUGAGAAAAAUUUGGAGAAUUCACAUAUUGACACAGAAUCACAUUGUAAGAUUGUAUGUAUUAUAUCAAAUUAACUCUUUUCAGUUGACAUUUUGCUACAGAUUUCCUUUGCAAACUGAAAACAGCUCAAAGUUUUAUUUUGCUUAUAGUUCUUUUUUUUCCACAUCAAGUAUUUCUGUUAUGCAUCUUCCAAGUGUUUUACUUCUGUAAAUCUUUUUCAUUUGUUUUCAUUAUGUUUUUGAUAUAAUGAAUUGGACUUGCAUGUUUUACUAACUUUACAAAGGAUAUUGGGGGGAAAAUGUUCAUGAAAAAUAAGAACACCUUCAGUUGUAAGUGCGCUGAUUUUGAUUUUUGCUUUAUAUAGAAAUCACAGACUAACUGGUUGAUUUUGCUUAUGGGGCAGAUGCUGCUUUGAAUGAUAUGGUGAGGAUUGUAAUGUAUGUAUACAUAACACUAUGUUGUAAAUAAAUAUUCUUUGAAGAGGCACUUUUGUCAUUUAUACAUCAUUACAUAUUAAUCUGUAGCUAGGUUUCCUCUACUGCUGUCUUAAGUUUCAGUAACACAAAUGGAAAACUUUAAAUUAAGAAGAAGACGUCAAAUAAUUUCAUCCAUCCAUGUGAAAGCAAAUCAGUGUCAGAUCAUUACAGCUGGAGAGCUGCUGGGUCAAUAUAUGAUUGCAGGACCUUUUGUAAUAUAGCUGAAAGGUAUCAUAGUUGACAUUUUUGCUGUUUUCAGGCCUAAAAUCAACAUGGCCACCUUUAACCAAACACCACAUGGCAUUUUUAGAGAAAGAUUGUUCUAAAUAUUAUAUAUACAGUUAACUAAAAUUGAAAUUGAAAGUUAUUUAUAAAGAUAUUGUAGUAAACCUAUUGACGUGUGAUAAAUCUACACUUGACUCACACACUAUAUUAUAUUAUGAAUACUAAGAAAGCCCUGGAGUCUUGCCAGUCUUUUCUUCAGGAGGAAAUGACAUCAUGUGGAGCAGGUCAAAGUGAUUUCUCAGACACAGAUAUAAUUUGUUAUUUUCCAUAUAAAAUUUGAUAUAUU